CGGUCUGCUACCUCUUACCCAUGUCUUUUGAGUACCUUCGUUUCCUCGGCGGGUCCGCCCGCCGAUUGGACAACAUUCAAACCCUUUGCAGUUGCAAUCAGCGUCUGAAAAAACAUAAUAGUUACAACUUUCAACAACGGAUCUCUUGGUUCUGGCAUCGAUGAAGAACGCAGCGAAAUGCGAUAAGUAGUGUGAAUUGCAGAAUUCAGUGAAUCAUCGAAUCUUUGAACGCACAUUGCGCCCCUUGGUAUUCCAUGGGGCAUGCCUGUUCGAGCGUCAUUUGUACCUUCAAGCUCUGCUUGGUGUUGGGUGUUUUGUCUCGCCUCUGCGUGUAGACUCGCCUUAAAACAAUUGGCAGCCGGCGUAUUGAUUUCGGAGCGCAGUACAUCUCGCGCUUUGCACUCAUAACGGCGACGUCCAAAAGUACAUUUUUACACUCUUGACCUCGGAUCAGGUAGGGAUACCCGCUGAACUUAAGCAUAUCAU
RNAcentral lists this ribosomal RNA (486 nucleotides) under Epicoccum sp. CJL-2014. Its description in RNAcentral is "eukaryotic LSU rRNA". The stretch from base 126 to 279 matches the Rfam family "5.8S ribosomal RNA". Lineage: Eukaryota; Fungi; Ascomycota; Dothideomycetes; Pleosporales; Didymellaceae. The record is from RNAcentral.